CUCUGUUUCUCUCUCCUUUGAUAUAUAAAAUUUUGAGAGAAGAUAAUUAGAAAAGAUUGUAUUUUUAUUAAGGGAAAUUAAAGAAAGAAUCAGAAUUAUCAGCCAUGGAAUCAAGAUUCAAUCGAAUUUGUGUCUUCUGUGGAAGCAGCCCUGGCAAGAACCCAAGUUAUCAACUUGCUGCUACUCAACUUGGACAAGAACUUGUCACGAGGAACAUCGACUUGGUUUAUGGUGGAGGAAGCAUCGGUUUAAUGGGUUUGGUUUCUCAAGCCGUCUUUGAUGGUGGCCGUCAUGUUUUGGGGGUGAUUCCAAAACCACUGAGAGAGGUAAUCCAUUCAUUUUGGUCCU
Long non-coding RNA from Impatiens glandulifera, 348 nucleotides. RefSeq lists it as uncharacterized. The record is from RefSeq and is a predicted model, not a curated record. NCBI's taxonomy places the organism in Eukaryota, Viridiplantae, Streptophyta, Magnoliopsida, Ericales, Balsaminaceae. The transcript is spliced from 3 exons.